UACGAAGGGGGCUAGCGUUGUUCGGAAUUACUGGGCGCAAAGCGCACGUAGGCGGAUAUUUAAGUCAGGGGUGAAAUCCCAGAGCUCAACUCUGGAACUGCCUUUGAUACUGGGUAUCUUGAGUAUGGAAGAGGUAAGUGGAAUUGCGAGUGUAGAGGUGAAAUUCGUAGAUAUUCGCAGAAACACCAGUGGCGAAGGCGGCUUACUGGUCCAUAACUGACGCUGAGGUGCGAAAGCGUGGGGAGCAAACAGG
RNAcentral lists this ribosomal RNA (253 nucleotides) under uncultured bacterium. RNAcentral's name for it is "partial 16S ribosomal RNA". It matches the Rfam family "Bacterial small subunit ribosomal RNA", at positions 524 to 776 of the family's 1533-position model. The record is from RNAcentral.